RNAcentral lists this ribosomal RNA (484 nucleotides) under uncultured bacterium. Its description in RNAcentral is "partial 16S ribosomal RNA". It matches the Rfam family "Bacterial small subunit ribosomal RNA", at positions 30 to 507 of the family's 1533-position model. The record is from RNAcentral.
AUUGAACGCUGGCGGCAGGCCUAACACAUGCAAGUCGAGCGGAUGAAGGGAGCUUGCUCCUGGAUUCAGCGGCGGACGGGUGAGUAAUGCCUAGGAAUCUGCCUGGUAGUGGGGGAUAACGUCCGGAAACGGGCGCUAAUACCGCAUACGUCCCGAGGGAGAAAGUGGGGGAUCUUCGGACCUCACGCUAUCAGAUGAGCCUAGGUCGGAUUAGCUAGUUGGUGGGGUAAAGGCCUACCAAGGCGACGAUCCGUAACUGGUCUGAGAGGAUGAUCAGUCACACUGGAACUGAGCCACGGUCCAGACUCCUACGGGAGGCAGCAGUGGGGAAUAUUGGACAAUGGGCGAAAGCCUGAUCCAGCCAUGCCGCGUGUGUGAAGAAGGUCUUCGGAUUGUAAAGCACUUUAAGUUGGGAGGAAGGGCAGUAAGUUAAUACCUUGCUGUUUUGACGUUACCAACAGAAUAAGCACCGGCUAACUUCGUG